AGUGAAUGCUGGCGGUAGGCCUAACACAUGCAAGUCGAACGGCAGCACAGUAAGAGCUUGCUCUUACGGGUGGCGAGUGGCGGACGGGUGAGGAAUACAUCGGAAUCUACUUUUUCGUGGGGGAUAACGUAGGGAAACUUACGCUAAUAUCGCAUACGACCUACGGGUGAAAGCAGGGGAUCUUCGGACCUUGCGCGAUUGAAUGAGCCGAUGUCGGAUUAGCUAGUUGGCGGGGUAAAGGCCCACCAAGGCGACGAUCCGUAGCUGGUCUGAGAGGAUGAUCAGCCACACUGGAACUGAGACACGGUCCAGACUCCUACGGGAGGCAGCAGUGGGGAAUAUUGGACAAUGGGCGCAAGCCUGAUCCAGCCAUACCGCGUGGGUGAAGAAGGCCUUCGGGUUGUAAAGCCCUUUUGUUGGGAAAGAAAAGCAGCAGGUUAAUACCCCGCUGUUCUGACGGUACCCAAAGAAUAAGCACCGGCUAACUUCGUG
RNAcentral lists this ribosomal RNA (492 nucleotides) under uncultured bacterium. Its description in RNAcentral is "partial 16S ribosomal RNA". It matches the Rfam family "Bacterial small subunit ribosomal RNA", at positions 29 to 507 of the family's 1533-position model. The record is from RNAcentral.